Molecule: ribosomal RNA, 624 nt
Filed under: uncultured bacterium
Lineage: Bacteria
Description: bacterial SSU rRNA
Rfam family: Bacterial small subunit ribosomal RNA
Source: RNAcentral
ACACGUAUCCAACCUACCUCAUACUCGGGGAUAGCCUUUCGAAAGAAAGAUUAAUAUCCGAUAGCAUAUAUUUCCCGCAUGGGUUUUAUAUUAAAGAAAUUCGGUAUGAGAUGGGGAUGCGUUCCAUUAGUUUGUUGGGGGGGUAACGGCCCACCAAGACUACGAUGGAUAGGGGUUCUGAGAGGAAGGUCCCCCACAUUGGAACUGAGACACGGUCCAAACUCCUACGGGAGGCAGCAGUGAGGAAUAUUGGUCAAUGGACGCGAGUCUGAACCAGCCAAGUAGCGUGAAGGAUGACUGCCCUAUGGGUUGUAAACUUCUUUUAUAUGGGAAUAAAGUGGUCCACGUGUGGACUUUUGUAUGUACCAUAUGAAUAAGGAUCGGCUAACUCCGUGCCAGCAGCCGCGGUAAUACGGAGGAUCCGAGCGUUAUCCGGAUUUAUUGGGUUUAAAGGGAGCGUAGGCGGAUUGUUAAGUCAGUUGUGAAAGUUUGCGGCUCAACCGUAAAAUUGCAGUUGAUACUGGCAGUCUUGAGUGCAGUAGAGGUGGGCGGAAUUCGUGGUGUAGCGGUGAAAUGCUUAGAUAUCACGAAGAACUCCGAUUGCGAAGGCAGCUCACUGGAGUG